This 460-nucleotide ribosomal RNA is filed under the name uncultured bacterium. Its description in RNAcentral is "partial 16S ribosomal RNA". It matches the Rfam family "Bacterial small subunit ribosomal RNA", at positions 338 to 795 of the family's 1533-position model. The record is from RNAcentral.
CCUACGGGGGGCAGCAGUGAGGAAUAUUGGUCAAUGGACGAGAGUCUGAACCAGCCAAGUAGCGUGAAGGAUGACUGCCCUAUGGGUUGUAAACUUCUUUUAUAAAGGAAUAAAACGAGGCACGUGUGCCCUUUUGCAUGUACUUUAUGAAUAAGGAUCGGCUAACUCCGUGCCAGCAGCCGCGGUAAUACGGAGGAUCCGAGCGUUAUCCGGAUUUAUUGGGUUUAAAGGGAGCGUAGAUGGGUUGUUAAGUCAGUUGUGAAAGUUUGCGGCUCAACCGUAAAAUUGCAAUUGAUACUGGCAGUCUUGAGUACAGUUGAGGUAGGCGGAAUUCGUGGUGUAGCGGUGAAAUGCUUAGAUAUCGCGAAGAACCCCGAUUGCGAAGGCAGCUUACUAAACUGUGACUGACAUUGAUGCUCGAAAGUGUGGGUAUCAAACAGGAUUAGAUACCCUGGUAGUC